Molecule: long non-coding RNA, 4401 nt
Organism: Zootermopsis nevadensis
Lineage: Eukaryota; Metazoa; Arthropoda; Insecta; Blattodea; Termopsidae
Source: RefSeq, a predicted model, not a curated record
UCAGGGGUACCAGGUACGUACAGUAGGAAUCAGGCCCACUCUCACUACUCGGUCAGUUUUAAGGUUGAGAAGACAAAUAAUUCGAGUGACUCCUUUUCCUGAACUGUUCGUACAGUUUGAAAAAGUGUUGUGUUGAUAUUAAAUGACUGUUGACGGGAAAGUUUCUAAAAAAUUUUAAGCACGCAAUAUAAAGUUUAAUUUUAAAUUAAGUUACAUUUAUUAAGUAGAAUUUUAGACGCGAGUCAUUAAAGAAUUAGUUCACGAAUUGUUUCAGAGCAGUACAAUUUAAAACUGAGUAAGACGGUUUAAAAAAUAAAAUGAGAGGAAUUUGAUUCCCUGUUUAAAUCUUCAGGGAAAUGGUUCCCUAAUUUACCCUUUGCUUCGUUCCAGUAUUAUUAAUUAAACUGGAGCAGUGUGGCGUUGAAAGACAGGCUGGCAGCCAAGGGUCUAUUGCGCUAUUUUCAAUCCACGCGUCUCUAAAACCCCAGGUAAUGAAGAGAAAGAAAGUGCUUAACAAGGUUUUAUGUGAUGUGACCAAUUUUUUGAUCUGUGUGCUGGAUCUCUGUAAAUGAAAUGAUGAACUACAAUUAACAAUUCAAGUGGGACUCUGUAUGUGUUCUUGUGAUCUCGUCUACAUAUUAGCUUGUGUUUGCAAUGAAAUAAGUAAGUUGAAGACUCACACGUGACGUCACUGGUCCUUGUCAGCGGAUGAGGGUUCCCAGAAAGGCAGACUUCAAGAACUGAGACCUGUUAACAGGAGCAACGCAAAAACCGUCGUUCAGAGGAGACAGACAGGACCACCGCAAGAUUUUAAACUUCCGGGGGUCUUACCCCUCCUAUGUUCCCCUUCUCCAUAUAAACCCCUACCUCACGACCGUGUCUGCGCUCCGCUAGUCGUAUUGAAACUCAGGGCUCAGGCGAGGCAGGUUGCAAGUCGCGGUGAGGUCCUCGAACGGAGAGGUGUUUCAGGCUUACGCGCUGCUAGCUGACGUGAGUGAGGUCGUUGAGUGUGACGAGGGAAGACGAAGCCUGAACUGCGAGAAUCAGUUACCUACUCAGGUACACAUUGACACUGCCAAAUACCUCUGUGAACAUUCUUCAAAAAUGGGUCCCAAAACGCUAGAUCCUACUGGCUUGUACUAGUUCCUUGAGGUCUUCUCAGUUACCAACAGCGGAAGAUUAUUUCAAACAUUUUCAUUUGACUUCAAGUGUCGCGACAGUAACCAUGAAUCCUAAACAGCUGGACCCGACUGGUCUCUACUGAGACGAGGCAAUGCUGACCAUCAAGACGAAGAAGCUGCGAUGAAGACAUGUUACCAUAUUGCAUCACGUGACAUUUCGAACUGAGGGGGAAGAACCAUUUUUUUUUCCCGGAAGAUGAUGAAAAUCAAGAAUAAAAAGACACAGGACAUACAAAGGAAGAAGAAAAAGAAGAAAAAGGGAUGUGGAGGCACGCGUGUUCCUGAUCAAAGCCGCAGCGAAGGCAGGCGGGGAGGAGACGAAGCGAUCAGCUGUUUCUGGUCGAGACACAAGAAGACUGCCAGCGGUUGUGAUACCACGUGGUCUCGGCUUUCGGUAAGCCUCUUCAGAAGAUAUUUAUUAUUUAUAAUGUAAUAUUAUGACGUGCCAGAACAGUUUGUUCUACGUUCCACGUGGUAUUUAAACAUCUGUUCGACACUGGUGUUUCUUUAAUAAUCGUGUUACCAUUUUAAUAUAGUACGACAUACACUUUCGAGUUUAACCCUUUCCAUGGCGUAUGUGAACGAUAUUGAGUCUAGUAACACGUGUCAUUUCUGCCUGAAAUAUUGUUCAAACAAAUUCUGCAAUUAAAAAUGAUUAUUUACCAAUAAAAAUGGCAUGUACGUUAUUACGUAAGCACAAAAUAUGCCAAGUUAAAGUAACCUUUCGUAUGUUAUGUUCUCUUUUAUACUCAAAAUAAAAUAAAAAAAACAUUAAACGUAAAUGUAUUUUAAAAUUAUCAGAAAACUUCCGUGUGGGUACGUACAUAUUGUCUAGGAAGUGAGAUUUUCUGACAUUUUACAGUCGUCAAAGUAGAUAAUGCAACCCAAAAUAAAUUGGUAUCGCGAAGCCAUCACAGAAAAUCACUGGUGACAUUUGACAUGGAAAGGGUUAAAAGAUCGCUCUCUGCAAAUGAUACGUAAAGUUUAUCUGUGGUUUGUUUGACAUUUGGAUACUGAGAUCAAAAUCCAAUUGAGAAGUCGUUACAAUUACGUAAACAGAGAUUUACUUAAAAUUUGUAUCUUUAUUUAUGAACGUUUGCUAAUGUGUUAAGCCUUAUUUAAUCUCCGCAUUACGAGACUUGAGUUUCUUGAACGGGCGUUGACCUUUCAUAUUCAAGAGUUGUGGUUGCUUGGUAACUAGAGAGAGUGUGUUGGAUCAGAUACUUCUGGUUUGGCCGCUGUCCUCGCCACGUUGUCAAAUUAUUGGUUUGUUUGUUGUAAUAAGUACUCAUACAUGUGCGAACCAUGUACUGUUCAAGAAUCUACUCUGAUGUGCAUAAAUUAUAUAAGACAAAUCAAAUUCGCCUCUUCUGAAAGUUAUAAACUCUUUUAGUACAACAUAUUAUGUAAAACUAUUUCGAUGUGAAUGAUAAUUUUUUGGGAAAUUAUUUUCGUGCAAUGUAUGUGAUCUGUUUGUUGCCCAUAGCAACGGUAGUCUACUAUUAGGUCUAUUUUAAAUUAGCACGUCUUUUAUAUUUACCAGAAAUGUACUAUAUAUACAAAGAAAUACAUAUAAAUGUACUCUUAACCUUUUAAGAACUAAUCUGUCGGAUACGGAUAUAGUUCAAUUAUGAAAAUAUAUGCUCAUAUUACGAAAAGCAUAGUAAUGAAAGAAUGGUUUUAUUCUGUUAUCCAAUCUUGAUAACAUGGCUGUAAUAAUGAAAUAUUACAAAAAUUUCCAGUUCUUAAAAGGUUAAAAAUAUGCCAACUCUCAGUCUUAUUGCUAGUAUCAUAGCAACAGAUUUAAUGUUGCUCUGAGUAUAUCACGUUUGUUUACCACUCUGUUGUGAUAAGUUUGUCUUGUGAUAAGAUGAAGUCUUAACGUAAAAUAUUACACAACAGAAUCGCUAUAAGUUUUAGUUAAUCGUCAACAACAAACAAUGAAAUUGUAACACCAGUAGACAAAAACUGCUAAAAUAACUUUUCUGUCUGUUGUGUUUAACAGACUUUGUCUGAAGCAGUACAUUUAAUCUGAACAUAUGUAAAUGCAAAACACUUUUUACAUACGUUGACAAUUUAUGCUGAGCGGUUGAAGUGUUUUAACAUUUUAAAUAUUGCCAGCAGUACUGAAACAACAUGGCUUCAUUCAGUCUUAGAAUAUAUAUAUUACCUCCUUCUCCGAGUGAGAAAAAUGGAAUAGCGUUAACACGUUGCUCAGUCACGAAAUAAUUGGUGUUCUUCAUUUUAAUUAGUGUAGAUACUUGAAAUGUGUUUUCAUAUACAGGGUGUUCAAAAUAUCUCUAUAGAACCGCAGUUCUAACUCUACAUAUAGAAAUUUGAACAACCUGUAUGUUAAAAAGAUUUACUGAAGCAGUUGUCAUAACGUCUUUAAUAAUUAAGUGGGGUUACUUUUAGAGGUGCGUAAUGAUGUAUGGCUUAGCUGCAUUUGGUUUUGAUUUAUUUUAUCUUACUUAAGGAAAUAUUUUGAUCACAACGUAUUUAAAUUUUCAGUUCAUGUACCAAUGUACGUAUAGAUGUCUGCCUUUUAUUUAAAUGUAGAUCUACUAGAAUUGUUUGUCAAAAGAAAUACUUUCGUUUUUUUUUUGUGAACCGCGGAAGUUUAGUCAGUGACUGGCUACGUACUGCUCGACCGAAGUUCGAUUCCAGGAAGAUGCAGGAUUUUUAUUUUCAUCACAACAUCCAGACCAACUUUUGGAUUCAUCAAGCCAGGCCCGUCUCUAGGGGAUGAAGCGGUCAGCCCCAUCUAGUGCCGGUUUAAAAAAAACCCUGGACAUUGAGCUCACAAGCCUUCGUGGCACAGGGCGAUUUCAUAAGCUUAAAUUUUAAAGACUUUCGUGUACGAUUGUACCAAAUGAUGUGAAGUUAAACUCAAGAGCACCUGUUGCAGAACGUGACUUUAAAAUAAAAUCGGUUCACAAGAGGACGAUUUUAGGAAGCAGUUAACACAGUAUGCAACUCGUUCAUGUAUUAAAGAUAGAUUACUUGUGUUGAAGCCUAACUCUUUUGUGAAUCAUCACUGCCACGGACAUGAGAAACAGUUAGGCCUAUAUAAGCAGAGACACUGAAUUUAGUGUGUAUAUUAUUAUUAUUAUUAUUAUUAUUAGGCCUAUUAUUAUUAUUAUUAUUAUUAUUAAAAUGUAUGCCAUUUCUGUGAAAUGACUAUUUUUUACGUUUGAAUAAAAAUUAUACAUAAUUGGUA